CGAGAAACACUCCAAUUGGUGGGGUGUGAGCCGUGAGGGGUUCUCGUCUGUAGUGGACGAGGGCCGGGUGCACAACAACAGGCAAUCGCCAGACACACUAUUGGGCCCUGAGACAACACUCGGCCGACUUCGGUUGAAGUGGUGUCCCUCCAUCUUGGUGGUGGGGUGUGGUGUUUGAGUAUUGGAUAGUGGUUGCGAGCAUCUAAAUGAACGCGUCGCCGGCAACGGUUACGUGUUCGUUUUGUGUAAUUUUUUCUUUUGGUUUUUGUGUUCGUAAGUGUUUAAGGGCACAUGGUGGAUGCCUUGGCAUCGAGAGCCGAUGAAGGACGUGGGAGGCUGCGAUAAGCCUCGG
RNAcentral lists this unclassified non-coding RNA (352 nucleotides) under Mycobacterium simiae. RNAcentral's name for it is "partial contains 16S-23S ribosomal RNA intergenic spacer and 23S ribosomal RNA". The stretch from base 272 to 352 matches the Rfam family "Bacterial large subunit ribosomal RNA", at positions 1 to 81 of the family's 2925-position model. Lineage: Bacteria; Bacillati; Actinomycetota; Actinomycetes; Mycobacteriales; Mycobacteriaceae. The record is from RNAcentral.